GCAACUUUAUUGUAUUUAAAGUUUUGAGGGAUAAACCUCUUAAAUUUCUCCAAGUAGAAAUAUAUGUAAACAAAACAAAAGCGAUUUUCAAUUUUUUUUGUAGUUUAUUGCACUUUUUUGCAAUUUAUGUAAUUACUAUGGACUUAAUGCAUACAUAUUAUUAAAAUAUGGGCUAUAACAGUUGUAUUGAUGUAUAGCAACUUGAAAUGCUCCCACAAAUGGCACUACAGCAUGUAAAAAAAAAAAAAAAAGCUCUGGUGGACUUGGUUCUAUAGUAGGUCUUAAAGGGUUAAAUAAAUAUCGUCAAAUAAUCGUGAUCUCAAUUUCAGUGAAAAUAAUCGUGAUUAUCAUUUUUGCCAUAAUCGAGCAGCCCUACAUAAGGCUGCACUUUUUGCAGCAGUCUCGUAUAGAAAACUAUUCCACGCGUAUAUAAAACGUAUUAAAGGUGACCUCUGGCUAAUACUUCGGGUUCUGUGUUGGGCUCGCAAACGAAAACUAGCUUUACUUUAUUGUCUGGGUCAACUUUGCUAGUGAGAGGCAGAGAGAGGCGUUGAAAGGCUGCUCCAACGGAACUUAUUGUUUCAGAGGAAAACGCGAACACAGUGUACUGUUCAGUAGGGCUGGGCUAUAUCAUACCGCUCACGGUAAUACCGGUGUAAUGUUGGGCAACGAUAAGAAAAUGAAAUAUCGCGAUAGAAUAUUGGUAAAACGCGCAUGAGAAGUGCCUAUGUUUACAUACGCACAUGGCAGUGACGCAGAAUGAGAAGAGCGAAAGUGGAUCGUUGAAUGAAACGGAUUAAACAGAAUUGGUUUGUAAAAAUGCUGCAAUGUCAGUGGUGUGGAACUGGUUUGGCUUUCGUCCGUCAGAUAUUCAACAAAGCACUAUUUUUGGUAGUGCAUGCUAGUGGGCCGUCGUUAUAGCCGUGUUUUUUUUUUUUUGGAAAAUAUGGCACACUUAAAAUCAAUCCUUUGAUUUUCUGAAAAUCGACAGUUCCCCUUAUAAUCCCGUGUGCCUUAUGUAUGAAUUCUGGUUGUGUUUACUGACCUGGAAACGAUUUUAUGUGGUACACGGCGCUCGAAAAUCUGUCAAAUGUUUCAGUACGACUUUGCUAAGCUACGAAGCCGCACCGCUUGAUGGAUUGUCGGAGCAUUACGGCUAUUGUAGGAAGGCGUCUCGCGGAGUGAUAUGUGCUGUGCUUCAACAUAAUAUUACCGUAUUGUGUGUGUAUAACCUCUUUUUAAGUUUUGUGGAUAUUAUACAUGGUUAUGCUGAGGAUAUGUCGGCCAAUUUCCACUGGAAAUGCCUUUUGGUUAAACUGUCAGCAAGGAAUUUGCACUGUAAAUUUUUUCAUAUAACUGUAAUGCACUUUAAAAAAGCUGCUUGUUUAAGUGAAAAUACAUUGAUGUGUUGUUUUUUUUUUUGCACUAAUAAAGUUGAGGAGUUGUACAGUAUUUUGUCUAGUGUCAAUUAUAUCAUCACUUAUAUCGUUAUCGCCAAUUUUCAAAUGUAUAUCGUGAUAAAUAUUUUUGGUCAUAUCGCCCUGCUCUACUGUUCAGUCUUAAUAGCUUACUUAAAACUGGGCUAAACUGCCCAUGAGACUACAUUCUUUAAGGCUAUGCCUGUUACGCUCUGCCUAUUGCCUUCAUAUUAAAUAAUUUUUAGAACAAUC
Astatotilapia calliptera (eastern happy) is the source of this 1670-nucleotide long non-coding RNA. NCBI's taxonomy places the organism in Eukaryota, Metazoa, Chordata, Actinopteri, Cichliformes, Cichlidae. The record is from Ensembl.